GGGGCCGACCUGGUUUCGACGUGGGUACGGACUCGGAGUGGGGCACGCCGAGCAUCAGUGAGCUCGUAAAUCCAGCUGAAAACAAACCAACUGCGAACGAAGAACGUUUCGCCCUCGCCGCUUAAC
This 126-nucleotide transfer-messenger RNA is filed under the name Methylibium sp. RNAcentral describes it as "partial transfer-messenger RNA". It matches the Rfam family "transfer-messenger RNA", at positions 1 to 129 of the family's 374-position model. From Rfam's summary of the family: Bacterial tmRNA, also known as 10Sa RNA or SsrA, is named for its dual tRNA and mRNA-like properties. The record is from RNAcentral. Lineage: Bacteria; Pseudomonadati; Pseudomonadota; Betaproteobacteria; Burkholderiales; Sphaerotilaceae.